RNAcentral lists this ribosomal RNA (510 nucleotides) under uncultured bacterium. RNAcentral describes it as "bacterial SSU rRNA". It matches the Rfam family "Bacterial small subunit ribosomal RNA", at positions 103 to 629 of the family's 1533-position model. The record is from RNAcentral.
CGGUCGCGUAACACGUAAGCAACCUGCCCUGAAGUGGGGGACAACAUCCCGAAAGGGGUGCUAAUACCGCAUGUGGUCACGAGUCGGCAUCGACUUGUGUCUAAAGAUUUAUCGCUUCAGGAUGGGCUUGCGGCCUAUCAGGUAGUUGGUGGGGUAAUGGCCUACCAAGCCGACGACGGGUAGCUGGUCUGAGAGGACGAUCAGCCGGAUUGGGACUGAGAUACGGCCCAGACUCCUACGGGGGGCAGCAAUUAGGAAUCUUGCGCAAUGGGGGAAACCCUGACGCAGCGACGUCGCGUGAAGGAUGAAGGCCCUCGGGUCGUAAACUUCUUUUGAGUGGGAAGAAAUUUGACGGUACCACUCGAAUAAGCCCCGGCUAACUACGUGCCAGCAGCCGCGGUAAUACGUAGGGGGCGAGCGUUGUCCGAAGUUACUGGGCGUAAAGCGCGCGUAGGCGGUUAUUUAAGUCUGGGGUGAAAGGUUCAGCGCUCAACGUGAACAGUGCCUUGG